CAGACUAGGAAAUUCUCCUAAAUAUAUCUCCAACAGAGUAAACAAGAGAUUAGGAAACUUGUCCUUCAUUCAAUUACACCUGACAGGUGAAUGUGAGUGGAGCAGUAAGAGAUGCUGCUUCCAGUAGUUUUCUGCCUCUCAAUCCUUGCUAUUCAAAGUAUGGUCCACAGUCCAGCAGCUUUGGCAUUACCUGGGAACUUGAUGGAAAUGCAGAGAAGUUCAAAUUCCCACCACUGAUAUACUGAAUCAGAAACAUCUGCCCUUCAAGAAGAUCCACUGGUGAUAAUACGCAUAUUAAAGUUUGAGUAGCACCGCCAUUCUAUAUCAGCUUGCAAAAUGAAGGCAAGAAGAAACAAAACAAAGCAUUAGCCAGUUUGGAUUUUCUGAAGUGCACUAAAUGUCAAACUCAAGAAAAGGAUUCUAUUCUGACAAGCACAAAACCCUGCACCAAGUUGAACCUGUCCUUUGUGAUGAGGCUGUUGAACAGAAGAGCAGCAUAGCCGUCUGUCUGCUCUUGCUCCACAUUCAGCUAAAUGCCAACUCCGAUCCCUUUGAGACGGUGAACAGGCUGAACCCAGGGAUCGUGUCAUCCCUCAGUAUCCAGACUUCUUCAGAGAACCAUGUGGUGAAACUUCUUGAUUAAGGUCGCAAAAGGAGAGACAACUAUACAUUUUGUGAUGCCGAAGAGAAAUGUACAAGAGUACUACUGAAGAAGUCCAGCCAAAAAAAAAAAAGCCCAGUAGUAUUCUUAUCAAGCCUGUAUAUCCAGUUUACAGGAAAUAUAAGAGACAGAGACACAUGUUAAAUGGCAACACUAGAAUCCCUGAAGGAAAACCUGCUGGGAUUGGCUGCAGAUGGUUUCAUUGCGAGAGAAGAAUGUGCCUCCUUUUGGCUGCCUGUUCUGUACGCAUGAUCAAGUCCCAGUCAAUGCUUCAUGUGCCUCAUUAACUGCGGG
Molecule: long non-coding RNA, 955 nt
Organism: Symphalangus syndactylus (siamang)
Lineage: Eukaryota; Metazoa; Chordata; Mammalia; Primates; Hylobatidae
Source: RefSeq, a predicted model, not a curated record